ACACUAGCUGUCUGUGUCAAGGCCACGCAGAAAUCUAUUGGAAAUCGCUGUGGAAACAAACGCAAAUGAAAAGCCGCAAAGAGCAAAGUUGCAGGCAACAGAAGCCAACUCUGGGUAACAAGCAAAAAGGGAAGGAGAAGGAUGCAAGGGCUGCUCAGAGAAUAGAUAAUAUAAUAAAUAUUAAUGACAAUAAUAUGAGACUGAAGACACCACAUGGCUGCUCACUGGCCCGUCUCCUCUCAUGACUGCUGCUCUGGGAACCACCUCUCUGCUCUCCAUCGCUACCACUCUAGCCUGUGGCCUGCUCCUGGUUGAAGAAGCCAUCAAUGAAAAUGAAUACCACUCUGGAAAUCUUGGGUGGUCUGACCUGAUAUUUUCGCAUAGUGGCCACAGAUAUUUUAGGCCCCCAAGAGGUAGUCUUACUCUUUCAAUUUUACUGGCUCCACUGUUUGAGGAACUUGGAACAAUUUCCCCAGGGACUGGUCUGGAGGUACUGUUGAAUAACACCACGGUGUUUUUUUUCCUCUCCACCAAGGGCCCGUUGAUGUCUCAAGACCAGACAUAAAACUUUUGGUGCUCAAGUCACUCAGAAUGAGAGUCCUGCUUUCCCUCAGCACUCUUGCCCUUUGAGGGUGGGGCCAAAUGUUUUCUUCCUUUCUUACUGAGGACUUUUGAUCCUGGUUUUUGAUAUUUGUCAUUCCCAGGGGGAAUUUUGUACCCUGUGUCUUGGUAAAGUGUAAGACCACUGUGG
This 751-nucleotide long non-coding RNA is filed under the name Homo sapiens (human). RNAcentral describes it as "HSALNT0321367". Lineage: Eukaryota; Metazoa; Chordata; Mammalia; Primates; Hominidae. The record is from RNAcentral.